UUGUUAGAAAUUUCUCUUUAUUUUACUAGACUGAUUCUUUGAAGCUGUCCUAUGCUAUUAGUAGUAGGUUUAACUGAACAGCUGAUAGGCUACUAAUAGGACACUAAAAUAAAAAAAUCUUACAUAUUAUCAUAAGGUUCAUCCAAUGGUCAUUAUAAACAAAGCAGGAUUUCAUAGUCACAAUUUAACUACUAGUACCCUAAUACAUUAGAAUGUUAAGCAUUAAAUCAUAUAUUAUAUCAAACAAUACUUAAAGCCAUUCUUUCAUUGUACUAUCAAAAGUUUCUUUCUAAUUUGGUUUAAGAUCUAGUUAUUUAAAUUAGACCUGCCCAGUUCCCUUAUAAAAAAAAAAAAGUAUUGGGAUUGUCAUAAAAAAACAAACUAAAUAUACAGUCAUGUA
Molecule: non-coding RNA, 400 nt
Organism: Biomphalaria pfeifferi
Lineage: Eukaryota; Metazoa; Mollusca; Gastropoda; Planorbidae
Source: the annotation of a GenBank genome assembly